Hemicordylus capensis (graceful crag lizard) is the source of this 154-nucleotide long non-coding RNA. RefSeq lists it as uncharacterized. The transcript is spliced from 3 exons. NCBI's taxonomy places the organism in Eukaryota, Metazoa, Chordata, Lepidosauria, Squamata, Cordylidae. The record is from RefSeq and is a predicted model, not a curated record.
ACAUGAUGGAGCAACUUGGCUGCCUCUCGGUACUCUUGGCCUCAUGCUCAGUCCUUUCCUGGAUGGUGCCCCUUGAAGAUUCACCUCCACCACCAACCCUUUCCCUGGAUCCCCAGUACCCUGUGUACAUCCAAGGGGAACAGGUAACCCUGAU